Molecule: ribosomal RNA, 951 nt
Filed under: Lepanus sp. CQ4
Lineage: Eukaryota; Metazoa; Arthropoda; Insecta; Coleoptera; Scarabaeidae
Description: SSU rRNA
Rfam family: Eukaryotic small subunit ribosomal RNA
Source: RNAcentral
CCAGUAGUCAUAUGCUGUCUCAAAGAUUAAGCCAUGCAUGUCUCAGUACAAGCCAAAUUAAGGUGAAACCGCGAAAGGCUCAUUAAAUCAGUUAUGGUUCCUUAGAUCGUACCCACAUUUACUUGGAUAACUGUGGUAAUUCUAGAGCUAAUACAUGCAAACAGAGCUCCGACCGGAGACGGAAGGAGCGCUUUUAUUAGAUCAAAACCAAUCGGUGGCGGGUCUCCCGUCACCGUACACCUUGGUGACUCUGAAUAACUUAUUGCUGAUCGCACGGUCUCGCACCGGCGACGCAUCUUUCAAAUGUCUGCCUUAUCAACUGUCGAUGGUAGGUUCUGCGCCUACCAUGGUUGUAACGGGUAACGGGGAAUCAGGGUUCGAUUCCGGAGAGGGAGCCUGAGAAACGGCUACCACAUCCAAGGAAGGCAGCAGGCGCGCAAAUUACCCACUCCCGGCACGGGGAGGUAGUGACGAAAAAUAACGAUACGGGACUCAUCCGAGGCCCCGUAAUCGGAAUGAGUACACUCUAAACCCUUUAACGAGGAUCAAUUGGAGGGCAAGUCUGGUGCCAGCAGCCGCGGUAAUUCCAGCUCCAAUAGCGUAUAUUAAAGUUGUUGCGGUUAAAAAGCUCGUAGUCGAAUUUGUGUCCCGCGCCGCCGGUUCAUCGCUCGCGGUGUCAACUGGCGUGUCCGCGGGACGUCCUGCCGGUGGGCUUAGCCCCCCGUGGGCGGCCCAAUCUCAAUCCCACCGCGGUGCUCUUCACUGAGUGUCGAGGUGGGCCGGCACGUUUACUUUGAACAAAUUAGAGUGCUUAAAGCAGGCUAAAACAUCGCCUGAAUACUGUGUGCAUGGAAUAAUGGAAUAGGACCUCGGUUCUAUUUUGUUGGUUUUCGGAACCCCGAGGUAAUGAUUAAUAGGAACGGAUGGGGGCAUUCGUAUGCGACGUUAGAC